CCUACGGGAGGCAGCAGUGAGGAAUAUUGGUCAAUGGGCGGGAGCCUGAACCAGCCAAGUCGCGUGAAGGAAGAAGGUACUUAGUAUUUUAAACUUCUUUUGUCGGGGAACAAAGGCGGAGACGCGUCUCCGGAUGAGUGUACCCGAAGAAAAAGCAUCGGGAAACUCCGUUCCAGCAGCGGCGGUAAUACGGGGGAAGCGAGCGUUAUCCGGAUUUAUGGGGGUAAAAGGGUGCGCAGGCGGGAGAUCAAGUCAGCGGUAAAAUGUCGGGGCUCAACCCCGGCCGGCCGUUGAAACUGGUUAUCUAGAGUUGGAGAGAAGUAUGCGGAAUUCGUGGUGUAGCGGUGAAAUGCAUAGAUAUCACGAAGAACUCCGAUUGCGAAGGCAGCAUACCGGCUCCAUACUGACGCUGAGGCACGAAAGCGUGGGGAUCGAACAGGAUUAGAUACCCGGGUAGUC
This 459-nucleotide ribosomal RNA is filed under the name uncultured bacterium. RNAcentral's name for it is "partial 16S ribosomal RNA". It matches the Rfam family "Bacterial small subunit ribosomal RNA", at positions 338 to 795 of the family's 1533-position model. The record is from RNAcentral.